GGAAAGAAAACUUUCUGCCCUAAUACGGCGGGAGGAUGACGGUACCGGAAGAAUAAGCACCGGCUAACUACGUGCCAGCAGCCGCGGUAAUACGUAGGGUGCGAGCGUUAMUCGGAAUUACUGGGCGUAAAGCGUGCGCAGGCGGUUCGUUAAGACAGAUGUGAAAUCCCCGGGCUUAACCUGGGAACUGCAUUUGUGACUGGCGAGCUAGAGUAUGGCAGAGGGGGGUAGAAUUCCACGUGUAGCAGUGAAAUGCGUAGAGAUGUGGAGGAAUACCGAUGGCGAAGGCAGCCCCCUGGGCCAAUACUGACGCUCAUGCACGAAAGCGUGGGGAGCAAACAGGAUUAGAUACCCUGGUAGUCCRCGCCCUAAACGAUGUCAACUAGUUGUUGGGUCUUCAUUGACUUAGUAACGUAGCUAACGCGUGAAGUUGACCGCCUGGGGAGUACGGUCGCAAGAUUAAAACUCAAAGGAAUUGACGGGGACCCGCACAAGCGGUGGAUGAUGUGGAUUAAUUCGAUGCAACGCGAAAAACCUUACCUACCCUUGACAUGGUCGGAACCCUGCUGAAAGGUGGGGGUGCUCGRAAGAGAACCGAUACACAGGUGCUGCAUGGCUGUCGUCAGC
RNAcentral lists this ribosomal RNA (627 nucleotides) under uncultured Burkholderia sp. RNAcentral's name for it is "bacterial SSU rRNA". It matches the Rfam family "Bacterial small subunit ribosomal RNA", at positions 442 to 1059 of the family's 1533-position model. The record is from RNAcentral. Lineage: Bacteria; Pseudomonadati; Pseudomonadota; Betaproteobacteria; Burkholderiales; Burkholderiaceae.